RNAcentral lists this unclassified non-coding RNA (703 nucleotides) under Hevea brasiliensis (rubber tree). Lineage: Eukaryota; Viridiplantae; Streptophyta; Magnoliopsida; Malpighiales; Euphorbiaceae. The record is from RNAcentral.
GUCCUUUUGAAAUCACAGAGGAACCAACACCCAAAAGUGCAAAUGCAUUCAACAAAAAUUAGUGAAUCAUCCAGAAAAUCGACAUAAAUCUUGAACAAACACAUUCAAAACUUCCAAAACUCACAAAUGAGUGAAUCACAACCCAGAAAAUAGACAGAAAUCUUCAACAACAAACAAGAACAAAACCUUAAACAAACCAAGUACCAAUAUGCCAAGUAACCACAAAUCUAAAAAACCCAAAUCUCAAACGCAACAAAAAGAACACAGAUCAACAAACCCAAGUCCCAAACCCAAAGACCUUGAGAUCUCUAGACAGUAGCAGAGGAAGCGUCACUAAAUGUAACAUCAAAUUAGAGGCACAGACCACCCUACUCAAUGUGGAGGUGCAGGUUAGGCAUGUAAAGGCCAAGUAUGGAGCAUCAUUGGGACUCGGGUCAAAAAGUAAGGACUAUGCAAUGGCAAGGAGGUGAGACAUGCGGGAGGAGGUUCGACGGCCGAGGAAAGAACAAUGAGAAAUAAAGAGGGAGGAGCUUCGAUCGACGAUGGCUGACUUGACUGUGAGAUGGUGAGGAGCUGAGGAGGUGUGAUCUAUGAAAGGGAUUUGAACCUUUGGCUUGUGGGAAGUGGAAAAUAACUGAAGGGACAAAGGUUUCCUUGUAUAUACAUAUAUGGGAGGGUAAAAGGACACUAUUUUGUAAUUCAG